GCAUCGAUAGCUCAGUGGCAGAGCGGUGGGGCGUUUGCCCAUGCGGCCCGGGUUCGAUCCCCGGUCGAUGCA
Phthorimaea operculella (potato tuberworm) is the source of this 72-nucleotide non-coding RNA. Lineage: Eukaryota; Metazoa; Arthropoda; Insecta; Lepidoptera; Gelechiidae. The record is from the annotation of a GenBank genome assembly.